Molecule: ribosomal RNA, 388 nt
Filed under: uncultured bacterium
Lineage: Bacteria
Description: bacterial SSU rRNA
Rfam family: Bacterial small subunit ribosomal RNA
Source: RNAcentral
GCAUAACGCGAAGAACCUUACCCACCUUUGUACAUGUACGGAAUCCUUUAGAGAUAGAGGAGUGCUCGAAAGAGAGCCGUAACACAGGUGCUGCACGGCUGUCGUCAGCUCGUGUCGUGAGAUGUUGGGUUAAGUCCCGCAACGAGCGCAACCCUUGCCAUUAGUUGCUACGAAAGGGCACUCUAAUGGGACUGCCGGUGACAAACCGGAGGAAGGUGGGGAUGGACGUCAAGUCCUCAUGGCCCUUAUAGGUGGGGCUACGACACGUCAUACAAUGGCUGGUACAGAGGGUUGCCAAACCCGGCAGGGGGAGCGUAAUCCCACUAAAGACCAGUACGUAGUCCGGAUCGCAGUCUGCAACUCGACUGCGUGAAGUCGGAAUCGCUAG